Molecule: long non-coding RNA, 1119 nt
Filed under: Macaca mulatta (Rhesus monkey)
Lineage: Eukaryota; Metazoa; Chordata; Mammalia; Primates; Cercopithecidae
Description: lncRNA (ENSMMUG00000056413.1)
Source: RNAcentral
GACUGUAUGUGGAAAUAAAGCUUUUAAAAGGGUUGCUAAAUUAAAAUGAAACUGUUAGUGUGGGUCCUAAUCCAAUCCAACUGGUGUCCUUGUAAAGAAGAGGAGAUUAAGACACUGGAGGCACACCAAGGAUGUGAGCAAACAGAAAAUCAAUGUGAGGGCUUAGAAAUAAGGCAGCCAACUGCAAGCCAAGGAGAGGUCUCAGAAGAAACUAAACCUGCUGACAUCUUGACCUUGGACAUUAGCCUCCAGAACUGCAAGAAAAUAAAUUUCUGCUGUUUAAGCUGCCCAGACUGAGGUAUUUUGUUAUGGCAGCCUGAGCAAAUUAAUAUAAACACUGAAAGUGAAAUGUUCUCAAUGGCCAUAAAUGGAAGAAAAUGUUACCAGAGGUUUCGUCCGUGGUUACAGAGAAGGAGAAGAUAGAAGGUAGGGAAAUUUGAUGUUUUAAUUUAUACUUUCUUAUUUUGUUUAUUUUAAAAUUUUGAACCUUAUUGCUGCUGUAGUAAAAUAAACCAGCUAAUUUUAAAAAGUGAUGGAGAAUUUGUGUCAACUUAUGAAAUAUGCCCAGAGAUCUCCUUUGAGACCUACAAAGCUUCUAUUGAUUUAUUUAUCUUUGAUUCAUCAUUUUUUAUGAUGUAGCUUUAAAAAUAAAUUAUUUGUUUAAACUCUUUUGUUUGGUUCAGUUGCUGGUAACUCAGCAAUUUUCUAUGGUUCUUCUUUCAUAAAUCUUCUGGUUUAUUUCAUCUUCCUUCUAAAACUUAAGAAACCAUGAUUUUGUCACUCAAGAAUCGCAUUGGGACAUCAGAAAAACACUUCAAGUUUACAGCAUCUUCAAUGAGUCAACCCAUCCUUGUUCCCUGGACAUUAUUGAUCGAAGAAGACAAACUUGAUGUGAGGGAGGCCAAGUACCUUGAGAAGACAUGGCAACAUCUCUGCCCAACAGAGGCACACAGAGAGGAGGAGACGGUGAAGGCUAGUCCAUUCAGUGUCACUAAAAUAGUCUCAGAGCCAUUUGCUGUUACCUCUCCUAUCAUCGGCAACUCUUACGAACAAGUCACAGAGAAUGUGCAAGCAAAGCGUGCCAGAGAUGGAAAAUUAAAAAUGGAAUGCUAUCAGUGA